This 78-nucleotide transfer RNA is filed under the name Adhaeribacter terreus. Its description in RNAcentral is "tRNA-Val". It matches the Rfam family "tRNA". From Rfam's summary of the family: Transfer RNA (tRNA) molecules are approximately 80 nucleotides in length. Their secondary structure includes four short double-helical elements and three loops (D, anti-codon, and T loops). Lineage: Bacteria; Pseudomonadati; Bacteroidota; Cytophagia; Cytophagales; Hymenobacteraceae. The record is from RNAcentral. RNAcentral also lists the same sequence under 4 other names.
GGGGUGUUAGCUCAGCUGGUUCAGAGCACCUGCCUUACAAGCAGGGGGUCACUGGUUCGAAUCCAGUACGCCCCACCA